CAGAACAGCUUGAAAAUGGUAACGAAGACAUUUUAGGAAAUCCACCAACGACAUGAUCAAUAGCAGACAUUUUAAAUGAGGAGGAUGUUACUCACGAUAAUAACAGAAGGAACAGACAACGGAUUGGUACGCAAUUGCAAGAAGCACGCGAUAAAUUUGCAGAGAUCGCAGAAAAUCAUACAACUACUUUACGGUUACAUGCAGAGGCCUCGAUGAAACUGGCUGAUUCUGCACUGUUAGCAGCUCAGAACGACUUACAAUUGAAGAAAGAAGAAUUGCA
Long non-coding RNA from Harpegnathos saltator (Jerdon's jumping ant), 280 nucleotides. RefSeq lists it as uncharacterized. The record is from RefSeq and is a predicted model, not a curated record. NCBI's taxonomy places the organism in Eukaryota, Metazoa, Arthropoda, Insecta, Hymenoptera, Formicidae. The transcript is spliced from 3 exons.